AUUGAACGCUGGCGGCAUGCUUUACACAUGCAAGUCGGACGGCAGCACAGAGAAGCUUGCUUCUUGGGUGGCGAGUGGCGAACGGGUGAGUAAUAUAUCGGAACGUACCGAGUAAUGGGGGAUAACUAAUCGAAAGAUUAGCUAAUACCGCAUAUUCUCUGAGGAGGAAAGCAGGGGACCUUCGGGCCUUGCGUUAUUCGAGCGGCCGAUAUCUGAUUAGCUAGUUGGUGGGGUAAAGGCCUACCAAGGCGACGAUCAGUACCGGGUCUGAGAGGGUGAUGCGCGACCUGGGGACUGAGCCACGGCCAAGCCUCCUACGGGAGGCAGCAGUGGGGAAUUUUGGCAAAUGGGGGCAAGCCUGCUCCAGCAAUGCCGCGUGUCUGAAGAAGGCCUUCGGGUUGUAAAGGACUUUUGUCAGGGAAGACAAGGCUGUUGCUAAUAUGAAUAGCUGAUGACGGUACCUGAAGAAUAAGCACCGGCUAACUACGUG
RNAcentral lists this ribosomal RNA (490 nucleotides) under uncultured bacterium. Its description in RNAcentral is "partial 16S ribosomal RNA". It matches the Rfam family "Bacterial small subunit ribosomal RNA", at positions 30 to 507 of the family's 1533-position model. The record is from RNAcentral.